GUCUACAGCCAUGCUACCCUGAACAAGCCCGAUCCCGUCUGAGCUAAGCAGGGUCGGGCCUGGUUUAUACUUGGAUGGGAGACCACCUCGGAAGACCAGGUGCUGUAAGUG
RNAcentral lists this ribosomal RNA (111 nucleotides) under Pteropus alecto (black flying fox). Lineage: Eukaryota; Metazoa; Chordata; Mammalia; Chiroptera; Pteropodidae. The record is from RNAcentral.